RNAcentral lists this ribosomal RNA (497 nucleotides) under uncultured bacterium. RNAcentral's name for it is "partial 16S ribosomal RNA". It matches the Rfam family "Bacterial small subunit ribosomal RNA", at positions 28 to 507 of the family's 1533-position model. The record is from RNAcentral.
GAUGAACGCUGGCGGCGUGCCUAAUACAUGCAAGUCGAGCGAACAGACGAGGAGCUUGCCCCUCUGACGUUAGCGGCGGACGGGUGAGUAACACGUGGAUAACCUACCUAUAAGACUGGGAUAACUUCGGGAAACCGGAGCUAAUACCGGAUAAUAUAUUGAACCGCAUGGUUCAAUAGUGAAAGACGGUUUUGCUGUCACUUAUAGAUGGAUCCGCGCCGCAUUAGCUAGUUGGUAAGGUAACGGCUUACCAAGGCAACGAUGCGUAGCCGACCUGAGAGGGUGAUCGGCCACACUGGAACUGAGACACGGUCCAGACUCCUACGGGAGGCAGCAGUAGGGAAUCUUCCGCAAAGGGCGAAAGCCUGACGGAGCAACGCCGCGUGAGUGAUGAAGGUCUUCGGAUCGUAAAACUCUGUUAUUAGGGAAGAACAAAUGUGUAAGUAACUAUGCACGUCUUGACGGUACCUAAUCAGAAAGCCACGGCUAACUACGUG